AUACGGAGGGUGCAAGCGUUAAUCGGAAUUACUGGGCGUAAAGGGCGCGUAGGCGGUCUAUCAAGUCAGGUGUGAAAUCCCACGGCUCAACCGUGGAGGUGCAUCUGAAACUGAUAGACUUGAGUAUGGGAGAGGAAAGUGGAAUUCCCGGUGUAGAGGUGAAAUUCGUAGAUAUCGGGAGGAACACCAGUGGCGAAGGCGACUUUCUGGACCAAUACUGACGCUGGGGCGCGAAAGCGUGGGGAGCAAACAGGAUUAGAAACCCUAGUAGUCC
This 274-nucleotide ribosomal RNA is filed under the name uncultured bacterium. Its description in RNAcentral is "partial 16S ribosomal RNA". It matches the Rfam family "Bacterial small subunit ribosomal RNA", at positions 523 to 796 of the family's 1533-position model. The record is from RNAcentral.